GAUGAAGAACGCGGCGAAAUGCGAUACGUAAUGUGAAUUGCAGAAUUCAGUGAAUCAUCGAAUCUUUGAACGCAUAUUGCGCUCUCUGGUAUUCCGGAGAGCAUGCUUGUUUGAGUAUCAGUAAACACCUCAACUCCCCUUUCUUUUUUUGAAAUGGGAGCUGGACUUGAGUGAUCCCAACGCUUUUCUCACCGAAAAGUGGCGGGUUACUUGAAAUGCAGGUGCAGCUGGACUUUUCUCUGAGCUAAAAGCAUAUCUAUUUAGUCUGCCUAAAAAACAGAUUAUUACCUUUGCUGCAGCUAACAUAAAGGAGAUUAGUUCUUGUGCUGACUGAUGCAGGAUUCACAGAGACAGCUUCGGCUGGCCUUUGUAAACUCGAUCUCAAAUCAAGUAAGACUACCCGCUGAACUUAAGCAUAUCAAUAAGCGGAGGA
This 433-nucleotide unclassified non-coding RNA is filed under the name soil metagenome. RNAcentral's name for it is "partial contains 5.8S ribosomal RNA, internal transcribed spacer 2, and large subunit ribosomal RNA". The stretch from base 1 to 120 matches the Rfam family "5.8S ribosomal RNA", at positions 35 to 154 of the family's 154-position model. The record is from RNAcentral.